GAAUUUAGGAGAAAAUCAAGGGGAUGGGAAGUAGAGAGAGUGUUGGAGCGAAUAAGGAAUGUAAGCACUUGUGAGUUCGGUUUUGGGGAGUUUCGGGAUUGGUUUUGGGUGUUUUUCUCUUUGAUUCAUUUUUGUCACUUCUUUUAUUUUUAUUCUUAUUCUUCUCUGAUUGUUGAACACCAUCUAGUGCAAGGGUUAUUGGUCGUGUUUUGGUUUGUUUCAGGUUAGCUUUUGGAG
RNAcentral lists this long non-coding RNA (237 nucleotides) under Gossypium barbadense (sea-island cotton). RNAcentral describes it as "long non-coding RNA (GBAR_LNC002482)". The record is from RNAcentral. Lineage: Eukaryota; Viridiplantae; Streptophyta; Magnoliopsida; Malvales; Malvaceae.